Molecule: unclassified non-coding RNA, 438 nt
Filed under: Bombus terrestris (buff-tailed bumblebee)
Lineage: Eukaryota; Metazoa; Arthropoda; Insecta; Hymenoptera; Apidae
Description: misc RNA ENSBTSG00005028965.1
Source: RNAcentral
ACGUCGGCAGGCACAGACGUGACCUACUUGCGCUAUUGACCUGUUGGUGAUGCUGGUGGGCGAAGUGUUGAAAGGGAGAGACGUGGAUAAGAGGGAGAAGUCCGUCCAGGUGAAGGAAAUGGUGGAGGAUACCAGGUCGGGAGGACGAGCGGCGAAGCGAGGGGACAGGGGCUGAAUGCACUUGACGCAUCAGAACACGGAGAGAACGAGCGACUGCCGCAUGCGGUCCCAGCGCGCGCAGCCUACUACUACUUAUCUUAUCCAUUCACUACAUACAUACACACACACAUACACGAGUAUUUCGUGUCUCUAGAAACAUGUGGGAUCUUUCUUCCCGAAGAACUGACCAAACUGUCAUUGAAUACCAUCGUCGUUCUUUUUAUUAUAAUUUCUCUUUCGAGUAUCAAUAAAAAUCACGCAAAUUCUAAUUGAUAACAA